UUUUGGACAAUGGGCGCAAGCCUGAUCCAGCCAUUCCGCGUGAGUGAAGAAGGCCUUCGGGUUGUAAAGCUCUUUCGCAAGGGAAGAAAACUUACUUUCUAAUAAAGAGUGAGGUUGACGGUACCUUGAUAAGAAGCACCGGCUAACUACGUGCCAGCAGCCGCGGUAAUACGUAGGGUGCGAGCGUUAAUCGGAAUUACUGGGCGUAAAGCGUGCGCAGGCGGCUUUGUAAGUCAGAUGUGAAAUCCCCGAGCUCAACUUGGGAACUGCGUUUGAAACUACAAGGCUAGAAUAUGUCAGAGGGGGGUAGAAUUCCACGUGUAGCGGUGAAAUGCGUAGAGAUGUGGAGGAAUACCAAUGGCGAAGGCAGCCCCCUGGGAAUGGUAUUGACGCUCAUGCACGAAG
This 405-nucleotide ribosomal RNA is filed under the name uncultured bacterium. RNAcentral describes it as "bacterial SSU rRNA". It matches the Rfam family "Bacterial small subunit ribosomal RNA", at positions 362 to 758 of the family's 1533-position model. The record is from RNAcentral.